CCUACGGUGCGCAGCAGUGGGGAAUAUUGGACAAUGGGCGAAAGCCUGAUCCAGCCAUGCCGCGUGUGUGAAGAAGGCCUUCGGGUUGUAAAGCACUUUCAGUGGGGAAGAAAGCCUUGGGGCUAAUACCCUCGAGGAAGGACAUCACCCACAGAAGAAGCACCGGCUAACUCAGUGCCAGCAGCCGCGGUAAUACGGAGGGUGCGAGCGUUAAUCGGAAUUACUGGGCGUAAAGCGCGCGUAGGCGGUCUGAUAAGCCGGUUGUGAAAGCCCCGGGCUCAACCUGGGAACGGCAUCCGGAACUGUCAGGCUAGAGUGCAGGAGAGGAAGGUAGAAUUCCCGGUGUAGCGGUGAAAUGCGUAGAGAUCGGGAGGAAUACCAGUGGCGAAGGCGGCCUUCUGGACUGACACUGACGCUGAGGUGCGAAAGCGUGGGUAGCAAACAGGAUUAGAUACCCUGGUAGUC
RNAcentral lists this ribosomal RNA (465 nucleotides) under Vreelandella stevensii. RNAcentral's name for it is "partial 16S ribosomal RNA". It matches the Rfam family "Bacterial small subunit ribosomal RNA", at positions 338 to 795 of the family's 1533-position model. The record is from RNAcentral. Lineage: Bacteria; Pseudomonadati; Pseudomonadota; Gammaproteobacteria; Oceanospirillales; Halomonadaceae.